Molecule: ribosomal RNA, 440 nt
Filed under: uncultured bacterium
Lineage: Bacteria
Description: partial 16S ribosomal RNA
Rfam family: Bacterial small subunit ribosomal RNA
Source: RNAcentral
CCUACGGGAGGCUGCAGUGGGGAAUAUUGCACAAUGGGGGAAACCCUGAUGCAGCGACGCCGCGUGAGUGAAGAAGUAAUUCGUUACGUAAAGCUCUAUCAGCAGGGAAGAAAAUGACGGUACCUGAGUAAGAAGCCCCGGCUAACUACGUGCCAGCAGCCGCGGUAAUACGUAGGGGGCAAGCGUUAUCCGGAUUUACUGGGUGUAAAGGGAGCGUAGACGGUGCGCCAAGUCUGGGGUGAAAUGCCGCAGCUUAACUGCGGAAUUGCUGUGGAAACUGGGGAACUGGAGUGCGGGAGGGGUAAGCGGAAUUCGUAGUGUAGCGGUGAAAUGCGUAGAUAUUAGGAGGAACACCGGUGGCGAAGGCGGCUUACUGGACCGUAACUGACGUUGAGGCUCGAAAGCGUGGGGAGCAAACAGGAUUAGAUACCCCUGUAGUC